GAGGAGCAGAUGGGCUUGGGAGGAGGGAGGGAGACAGACCCCUUGUUUAAACACAAAUAGCGGUGAUAAUUAAUUAACCAAAGUAGCAGGGGAAAUUAUGAAAAACAUGUGAAAGUGCUGGUUCUGCUGUACACCUUCAUGUUUUUGCCCAAGUCAUCAGAUUUAAUCCAAAAUAUG
Molecule: long non-coding RNA, 177 nt
Organism: Neopelma chrysocephalum (saffron-crested tyrant-manakin)
Lineage: Eukaryota; Metazoa; Chordata; Aves; Passeriformes; Pipridae
Exons: 2
Source: RefSeq, a predicted model, not a curated record